UCCGGUUUGGCACCGGCAGUCUCCCUAGAGUUCCCGGCAUGAUCCGCUGGCAACUAAGGACAGGGGUUGCGCUCGUUGCGCCACUUAAGGCAACACCUCACGGCACGAGCUGACGACAGCCAUGCACCACCUGUGCGGGCUCCGAAGAGCACCGUGUUUCCACGGUUUCACCCUGCAUGUCAAGCCCUGGUAAGGUUCUUCGCGUUGCGUCGAAUUAAGCCACAUGCUCCGCCGCUUGUGCGGGUCCCCGUCAAUUCCUUUGAGUUUUAGCCUUGCGGCCGUACUCCCCAGGCGGGGUGCUUAAUGCGUUGGCUUCGGCACGGAAGGGGUCAAUACCUCCCACACCUAGUAUCCAUCGUUUAGGGCGUGGACUAC
RNAcentral lists this unclassified non-coding RNA (375 nucleotides) under uncultured Actinomycetes bacterium. RNAcentral describes it as "uncultured actinobacterium contains 16S-23S intergenic spacer region". The record is from RNAcentral. Lineage: Bacteria; Bacillati; Actinomycetota; Actinomycetes.